Molecule: ribosomal RNA, 253 nt
Filed under: uncultured bacterium
Lineage: Bacteria
Description: partial 16S ribosomal RNA
Rfam family: Bacterial small subunit ribosomal RNA
Source: RNAcentral
UACGGGGGGGGCAAGCGUUGUUCGGAAUUACUGGGCGUAAAGGGCUCGUAGGUGGCCAACUAAGUCAGACGUGAAAUCCCUCGGCUUAACCGGGGAACUGCGUCUGAUACUGGAUGGCUUGAGUUCGGGAGAGGGAUGCGGAAUUCCAGGUGUAGCGGUGAAAUGCGUAGAUAUCUGGAGGAGCACCGGUGGCGAAGGCGGCAUCCUGGACCGACACUGACACUGAGGAGCGAAAGCCAGGGGAGCAAACCGG